RNAcentral lists this ribosomal RNA (167 nucleotides) under uncultured Ascomycota. RNAcentral's name for it is "partial 18S ribosomal RNA". It matches the Rfam family "Eukaryotic small subunit ribosomal RNA", at positions 1661 to 1831 of the family's 1831-position model. Lineage: Eukaryota; Fungi; Ascomycota. The record is from RNAcentral.
UGUACACACCGCCCGUCGCUGCAACCGAUUGAGUGCCUCGGUGAAUUGUCGGGAGAGCUUGGCGCGCUCUUGGGUGCGCCGGGUCCGAACUUCAAUAAAUUUAGGUACUUAGAGAUUGCAAAAGUCGUAACAAGGUUUCCGUAGGUGAACCUGCGGAAGGAUCAUUA